RNAcentral lists this non-coding RNA (201 nucleotides) under pig gut metagenome. RNAcentral describes it as "6S / SsrS RNA". It matches the Rfam family "6S / SsrS RNA". Rfam says of the family: E. coli 6S RNA was the first non coding RNA to be sequenced, but its function was unknown until recently. The record is from RNAcentral.
UGCCUGCCAUGUGCGUGAUAGUAUUUCUUUUUGGACCGACACGAAUAUUCAGGGAGUUUGAGUUCCGUUUUGGGAAUGCAGGCCUCCCGCCCCACCCGCUUUUGCCGGUGGCGGCGGACGUUGGAAGCACAAAGGGACGGGGGAGGACACCCACCUGCCAAUGCAGGGUCGAAUAUGGAUACUACACGGCACGGCGGGUUU